Molecule: long non-coding RNA, 1175 nt
Organism: Passer domesticus (house sparrow)
Lineage: Eukaryota; Metazoa; Chordata; Aves; Passeriformes; Passeridae
Exons: 7
Source: RefSeq, a predicted model, not a curated record
GGGAACCAAUGGGGCAGCAGGGCUGGAACACUGCGGGAAACUGGGAUCGGUGGGGUGUCAGGGGAGGGGAGAACAUUCCAGGGAAUACACAAAUAUGGUGAAGGAGGGCUGGACUGGGGUGGAACCACUGUACAAAGCAAUGGAACUUGACCUCACACCCAGCCCUUUAAGGAUCCAGUGCCAGCUCUGGCUCAGCCCACACUGAGCAGGAUUCCAUCAGGCCUUGGGUCACAAGUGGUGGGAGCAGCUGGAAUGCAGGGCCCUGGAUUCCCUCUCCCCAGUCCAUUUGGGACCAUCUGGGCAAGGAUCAGCCAUGGGCGCAGGAAUCCUGCGGAUGUGCCUGGUGCUGAUGGCUGUGGUGGGCGCCAACAGCCGCUGAGGCCCUCGGAAAAACUGAAUUGUUCCUGAGGGCAGGGAAGAAACUCUCCUGAGAAGGAAUGAGUGUGAGGUCCAGAGUUCCUGAUGUGACAGCGAGAAGAAAAAUUCUCAAACUAAAGCCUAAUACAAAUGCACCAGUCUGUUCCUUGGUGUUUGCUUAUGGAUAAUACCUGCUACUGCGGCUAUACAUUACAAAAGCAUGUGAAAAGGCUUAUUUAGAAAUCAGGAGGCAGAAAUGCAUCAUCCCAGGCACCAAUCCAAGAGCUUGUGGAGGUGUGAGGGUGGUGUAACCUGUGACUUAGACCAUCUCAAGCUAUCAGCAUUUGCAAAACAGCAGAAAUAGAAAGUAUAGAACAGAGAUUGAUGCUGUAGACUGAAUCACACCCUGUGAUGUCUGAUGAAAACUCAACAACAGGAAUAACCUGUGGUUCAAAUUGAAAGCUACCACAGAGAGGACUCUCCACUGCAAUAAAGUGGAAGAACUGAAGAGCUGUGUCCAUUGACACCCAGGAGCCUGCACAGACUGGAACUCAUGGCCAGGGUGACAUUGCUACAUGACAGAGCUUUUUCAACCAACCAGAGAUUUCCACAGCAGGCUGCUUAGGGAGGAAGGCACUGCCAAUCAGCUCUGAAAAGUUUCUCCAGACAUAGCACCGCUGACAAGGACAUGGGGAAAUUUUUUCACCCUCAGGAACUUGCCUGUGACUGUCAGCUGAUAAAAGACUUUGUGAGAAUUACUGAAGCAACAUGUACUCCAUGUGGCAAUCUGUCCCCUCAUGUUGUACUGAAAUAAAACA